Molecule: long non-coding RNA, 1298 nt
Filed under: Physcomitrium patens
Lineage: Eukaryota; Viridiplantae; Streptophyta; Bryopsida; Funariales; Funariaceae
Description: long non-coding RNA (PPAT_LNC013688)
Source: RNAcentral
CCAGGUAUUGGAAUCUUAACUCAUUGAUGUUAUUUAAGUUGGCAAAAGCACGAAAGUAUUAUCUUGCAUUGUAUUUAAUCCUCAAAUGAUUUUUAAAAAGUAGUUAAGUAAAAAUAAUCUUAAUCAUAACUUUAUAUUUAUAAAAUAAAAUAAAAUCAGAGUGAUGCAAAAUCAAAACAAUACUAAAAUAAUAUUACAUUGGUUCUUUUUUCCAGAUAUGUGUUUUUAAAACUUUUUACCAAUAAUUUGAUUUAGUAUAUUUUAGUUCAACAACACCAAUCUACAUCUUUUUAUUUUUUAUUGUUGAAAAUAUCAACCCAAAAAAAUUCAAUAUUUUACUACCCAUCUAUUAUAGGAGUUGGGAAAUUUACGGAGGUUUUAUUAACCUUAUUGAUUCCUCUUGAUAACAACUCAAUCUGUGUUAACUAAUUUAUAAUCCAAAAGCAUUACCAAAGUUUGGUAACACUAAAUUUGCAUGAUACAUGGAAGAAUGCACUCUGUGUAAUAAAAGUGUGAAUUUGUCUGCACAUUGAGAGACACAUUGAGGCAUAUUAUUGUUUUAUAUCAUUGAGCACUCAAUAUGACCUUUUAUUACAACAUUAAUAAAUAUUUCAAUAAACCAAUUCUCCAAUAAUUAAAAUAAAACAAAAGAUUCGAACCAAGGUGAUUUUUGUUGCAUAUCUUCACUUUUGUUUAAAAUAAUAAUAAAAUAUAUAUAUAUAUAUUUAUAAGUUAUUUUUCAUUGCUUGUUAAAGAUGGGUAUUGUCAAAAGAGCAAAUUCAACUUCUCUAUGGUCAUAAGCAAGUGGGGUCCCAUCUUUCACAUUAUAAAUUUUGAAUGUAGAUCAUACAACAUACUCAUGGGUUUGUUAUUUUAACCCUUACAAUGAUUUAUUUGAUAAGAAGAAUAGUUAUUGAAUAAAGUAAGAGGAAAAUUCUUCCAAUUUAUUGAAGCUUAUUAAUUUCAUCAAUAUGAUUUGUGUCCAUAUUUAAAUUUCUUUUGUCUGGAUCUUGUAAGCAACAUUUUAUUAACAUUACUGGACAUAAAAUCUAAAAAGCAGUGAAUUACAGCUUUUGAAAUACACUGACAUGAUCGAGUCAUCUGAGACCUUCUUUCUUCUUAAAGAAUUUGCCAAUUUCAAUGUUUUCUUUGUAGCAUUUUAAGAAAAUUCAUGUUCAAUUAGGUUCCAACAUAUCUCAUAAGAUUCUAGUGGUGCCAUUCCAUCAUGCCUCAAAGAUCAAAAUAAAACAAUAUAUAAAUAAAUUUGCAACACUUAAUUAUUGUAGAAAUAACAAGAC